Molecule: ribosomal RNA, 465 nt
Filed under: Vreelandella stevensii
Lineage: Bacteria; Pseudomonadati; Pseudomonadota; Gammaproteobacteria; Oceanospirillales; Halomonadaceae
Description: partial 16S ribosomal RNA
Rfam family: Bacterial small subunit ribosomal RNA
Source: RNAcentral
CCUACGGGGGGCUGCAGUGGGGAAUAUUGGACAAUGGGGGGAACCCUGAUCCAGCCAUGCCGCGUGUGUGAAGAAGGCCCUCGGGGUGGAAAGCACUUUCAGUGAGGAAGAACGCCUGGUGGUUAAUACCCAUCAGGAAAGACAUCACUCACAGAAGAAGCACCGGCUAACUCCGUGCCAGCAGCCGCGGUAAUACGGAGGGUGCGAGCGUUAAUCGGAAUUACUGGGCGUAAAGCGCGCGUAGGUGGCUUGAUAAGCCGGUUGUGAAAGCCCCGGGCUCAACCUGGGAACGGCAUCCGGAACUGUCAAGCUAGAGUGCAGGCGAGGAAGGUAGAAUUCCCGGUGUAGCGGUGAAAUGCGUAGAGAUCGGGAGGAAUACCAGUGGCGAAGGCGGCCUUCUGGACUGACACUGACACUGAGGUGCGAAAGCGUGGGUAGCAAACAGGAUUAGAUACCCUAGUAGUC